This 460-nucleotide ribosomal RNA is filed under the name uncultured bacterium. RNAcentral's name for it is "partial 16S ribosomal RNA". It matches the Rfam family "Bacterial small subunit ribosomal RNA", at positions 338 to 795 of the family's 1533-position model. The record is from RNAcentral.
CCUACGGGUGGCAGCAGUGAGGAAUAUUGGUCAAUGGAGGCGAGUCUGAACCAGCCAAGUAGCGUGAAGGAUGACGGCCCUAUGGGUUGUAAACUUCUUUUAUACGGGAAUAAACUGUUUCACGUGUGGGUUAUUGUAUGUACCACAUGAAUAAGGACCGGCUAAUUCCGUGCCAGCAGCCGCGGUAAUACGGAGGGUCCGUGCGUUAUCCGGAUUUAUUGGGUUUAAAGGGAGCGUAGGUGGAUCGUUAAGUCAGUUGUGAAAGGGUGCGGCUCAACCGUAAAAUUGCAGUUGAAACUGGCAGUCUUGAGUACAGUAGAGGUAGGCGGAAUUCGUGGUGUAGCGGUGAAAUGCUUAGAUAUCACGAAGAACUCCGAUUGCGAAGGCAGCUCACUGUAGUGCUACUGACACUGAGGCUCGAAGGUGUGGGUAUCGAACAGGAUUAGAUACCCGAGUAGUC